Non-coding RNA from Salmonella bongori NCTC 12419, 51 nucleotides. The record is from Rfam. NCBI's taxonomy places the organism in Bacteria, Pseudomonadati, Pseudomonadota, Gammaproteobacteria, Enterobacterales, Enterobacteriaceae.
ACGAUUUUGGCCAUUUACGGUCAGGGCCGACUGUUGCCUGAAAAAGGGUAA